UUUUGGUUUCCGAAAGAGACUUUUUUUUAAUUUUAUUAAUUCAUUUUCUCCAUCUUUAUUAUUAUCUUUGAUUCUCAUAAUUUAAUUUCCUCUUUUAUUUUUUCAUCAUUUGAUUUUAACUUUACAAGUAUUUCCUUUUUUAAACUUUUUUAUUGUUCUUUUAAGUCUUUAGUUUCAGUCAUGUCCAGGUGUCCAAAAUCUAUUGGUCCUUUAAUCCAAAACCCUAGUUUUUAGCAGUAUAAAUAGCUGCAAUUACUGCU
RNAcentral lists this long non-coding RNA (260 nucleotides) under Medicago truncatula (barrel medic). RNAcentral describes it as "long non-coding RNA (MTRU_LNC006823)". Lineage: Eukaryota; Viridiplantae; Streptophyta; Magnoliopsida; Fabales; Fabaceae. The record is from RNAcentral.